Molecule: long non-coding RNA, 1810 nt
Organism: Aegilops tauschii subsp. strangulata
Lineage: Eukaryota; Viridiplantae; Streptophyta; Magnoliopsida; Poales; Poaceae
Source: RefSeq, a predicted model, not a curated record
UACAUCGGCACGCGUCGAGCGGCGCAUAGACGAGCUCUCUUCCCCGCUCCUCUCUCUCUCUCUCUCUCUCGGUUCGCUGAGAGACACAGAAAUUCCCCACUCCUCCCCCCCAAAUCUCAUGGACCAGUUGCGAUUAAGGAAGGGCGCGGCCGGCAGGGAACCGCCGCCGUGAUUGGGUGGGGUCGUCGAGGACCAUGGCGGCGUAGCAGGCCAUGUCCGGGCACCGGAUCGACAGGCUCUCGGCGUCAGAUCUACAAGCACCGGGCGCCAUCCCCGUCGGCGGCCCACACGUUGCCGCUCCAGCACCCGCGGCAGUACAAGUGGGCGCGCCCGACAGACCUCAUCUCGUCAGGGGCGUCCACGUCCAAGUAGAUGUCGCGGGCGAGGGGCGCGUCGUUGACGGCCAUAGAGACGACGAUGCCGUCUACGGGAAGGCCGACAACGUCGCGGACGUGCAGCUCGUCCGAGCACCACCGCUCCCAGACGCCUUGGGCGCUCCAUUUGAAGUGCCGGAGCAUGGCGUCGUCUUGGUCUUGGACGACAUGAGACAAAAUUUGCAGUGCAAGCGGGCAAAUUGUAUCCACCACUUAGGCAAUUUUCAGGGAAAUACUGGCUUGUGAUUGAUUCUACAACUGAACUGGACUGCAGUUGCUCUACAUCGAGAAUUGUUGGGGCCUCCAUUGUAGGGUGAUUGCUCAGCCCGUGUCAAGGAAUUGGAUGGAUGGAUGUUGGCUGAAGUGAAUUGGAUGGAUGUUGGCUGAAUUGCUCAGCCCGUGUCAAGGAAUCUUCAGACAAAAAGAUUGCUCAGCCCGUGUCAACUGAACUGAAUUGGAUGGAUGUUGGCUGCCGGCCGGCUGAUGUAGCAGGAAAGGAAAGUUCAAGCCGAGGUUGCACAUCAUGCAAUGCGCCGAUGAAGAAGCAACGGAUUUUCACUUGUACUCCUAGUAUUAUUGUUGGCCAAUUUACAGGGUGCGACGAUGAGGGAUGCACAAACAAGCUGUGGCCAGUGGGAGAGGCAAGGGGACCUGUUCACCGCUGCAAGAGGGAUGUCGAAGGAACCAAAAGUGGAAGCUAGCAUAGCGACACCAUGUUCUUUUGUCUUCAAGAGCAGGCCACUUUUACGUGUUGAAGGAACGAUGGAAGAAGGCAUGCCUUUUGUUGGGACAGAUGUGUUUUUCAAGUGUUUUGGGAUGGAAAAAUUCACCAAAAUAAGACUUUUAAGAUAGCAAUGUGUGUUCUAUUCCAGAAACUAAAAGUAGUAGUAUCAGCAAAUUCAUAUAACUAUUUUUGCUUUUUCUUUGGUCUUAUUCUACCAGCAGUAACAAAACUACUACUGUGUGUUUUUAUGAUUAUUUUUUACCUAGUCCUUACAAUUUUUCCCUUACUAUGUUUGUCUAUGACUAUUUUUUUGCUUCACCAUGGUUUUUCCCUUACUAUGUUUCUUUAGAGGAGAAAAGCUACGAAGAAACGUUAGUUUUUUUGUUUCAUUCAUUUUUUGCAGGACCCACAUACAAAAAUAUCAAAGCCAUGGAAGGCCUAGAGCAGCUACUCUCCAGGUGUAGUGCAAAAAAAAGAUACUAGUUGCCCAGGGACCAGGUGCUUUUUUCUCUUCGAUGGGUGGUCACACAAGACGAUGGGGUGGAAGAAGAAAGAAGAGGGAGAAGAAGAAGGGCGUGGGGACAGCUUGGGAGAGAAGAAGAAAGGAGAGAGGGGGCAAUGCUUUUGGUGAAGCGCGUGAAGGGAGGGAGAGAAGCUGGGUGGACGGAGGGACGUGGGAGACGGUGAACCCUUUCCUUUCCAAAUCUGGACU